This 469-nucleotide ribosomal RNA is filed under the name uncultured bacterium. RNAcentral's name for it is "bacterial SSU rRNA". It matches the Rfam family "Bacterial small subunit ribosomal RNA", at positions 329 to 793 of the family's 1533-position model. The record is from RNAcentral.
CACCAGACUCCUACGGGAGGCAGCAGUGAGGAAUAUUGGUCAAUGGGCGCGAGCCUGAACCAGCCAAGUCGCGUGAGGGAUGACGGUCCUACGGAUUGUAAACCUCUUUUGCCGGGGAGCAAGCGUGCGUUCGUGAACGCGCGUCGAGAGUACCCGGAGAAAAAGCAUCGGCUAACUCCGUGCCAGCAGCCGCGGCAAUACGGAGGAUGCGAGCGUUAUCCGGAUUUACUGGGUGUAAAGGGAGCGUAGACGGCAAUGCAAGCCAGAUGUGAAAACCCGCAGCUCAACUGGGGGAGUGCAUUUGGAACUGUGUAGCUGGAGUGCAGGAGAGGUAAGCGGAAUUCCUGGUGUAGCGGUGAAAUGCGUAGAUAUCAGGAGGAACACCAGUGGCGAAGGCGGCUUACUGGACUGUAACUGACGUUGAGGCUCGAAAGCGUGGGGAGCAAACAGGAUUAGAUACCCUGGUAAG